GCCUGCGAGCCCAGGCGAGGCAGAGGCUUGCGCCUGCGCCACUCGGCGCUGCGGAAACCGUUGGCUCAUUUGCAUCUCCCCGCCUCGCAAGGCGGUGGAUAAGGAGCCUAAGGCGGCGGCGGGGGCGGCACCGCGCGCGGCGGGCUCGGGGAGAGAAAAACAUGGCGGCAAGGCGGAUGGCACAGGAAUCUUUGGACACUGUAUUACAGGAAAAAUCUAAACGGUAUGGGGAUUCUGAGGCUGUUGGUGAAGCUAUCCAGCUUAAAGCUCAAGAUCUCCUAAGGACAGGCUCACGAGCCAGAGCAAAUGUCUAUGAGGACAUUCGCAGUGACAGCAGGUACUCCUCCAGUGGAUCUGGAGUGUACUCACUAGACUUGGGGAGAGAAGGCCUCAGAGGUGACAUGUUUGUGGGACCCUCCUUCAGAUCUGGCAACCAGUCUGUCGGUGAAGACAACUAUCUCCACAAAGAAUGUGGCCGGGAUCUGGAACCAGCCCAUACUGACUCCCGGGACCAGAGUUUUGGCCACCGGAAACUGGGACAUUUUCCUUCUCAGGACUGGAAGCUUGCUCUCCGUGGUUCUUGGGAGCAAGACUUGGGCCACCCAGUUUCUCAAGAAUCCUCCUGGUCACAGGAAUAUGGUUUUGGAACCUCAGUAUUAGGGGAUGUGGCCUCCUCCAGGCGGAUAGAAAAGGAGAGUCGGGAUUAUGACCUGGACCGUUCUGGGGAGGUGGACUCUGUGCCUAGAGGCAGUGGGCAAGUACUGGCCAGAAGCCGGUCUCUAAACAUGGCUGACCAGGAAAGCACUCUCCUGGGAAAGGGGGACACUCAGGGCCUGCUUGGAGCAAAGGGUGUCGGGAAGCUUAUCACACUGAAGGGCAUGGCCACAAAGAAAAUACCUGUUGUCAGUCGUAUUACUUCCAAACCUCAGGGCACUAACCAAAUCCAGAAAGCCACCCCAAGUUCUGAUGUGGCCUUCGGGACAAACCCUGGGCUGGAUGAAAUCCAGUUGGCUGCUCUGAAGAUUCCUUUGGGGCUAGACCUGAGGACCCUUGGCUUCCCUAGAAGGAAGCUGGGCUUUGAUGCCAUGGACAAGGCAGAUGUGUUCUCAAGGUUUGGCAUAGAGGUCAUCAAGUGGGCUGGGUUCCACACCAUCAAGGAUGACCUCAAGUUCUCCCAGCUCUUCCAGACUCUGUUUGAACUGGAAACUGAGACCUGUGCCAAGAUGCUGGCCUCCUUCAAAUGCUCCUUGAAACCGGAGCACAGAGAUUUCUGCUUUUUUACUAUCAAGUUUUUAAAGCACUCUGCUCUGAAAACACCCCGAGUUGAUAAUGAGUUUUUAAAUAUGCUUUUAGACAAAGGUGCUGUGAAGACCAAAAACUGCUUUUUUGAGAUCAUUAAGCCCUUUGACAAGUACAUCAUGCGGCUCCAGGACCGGCUGCUGAAGGGUGUCACACCCCUGCUCAUGGCCUGUAACGCCUACGAGCUGAGCGUCAAGAUGAAGACCCUCACUAGCCCGUUGGACCUGGCUGUGGCCCUGGAGACCACCAACUCUCUGUGCAGGAAGUCCUUGGCACUCUUAGGCCAGACCUUCUCCUUGGCCUCUUCCUUCCGGCAGGAGAAGAUCCUAGAGGCUGUGGGCCUCCAGGACAUCGCGCCAUCUCCGGCUUUCUUCCCAAAUUUUGAGGACUCCACUUUGUUCGGAAGGGAGUACAUAGACCACUUGAAGGCCUGGCUUAUGGCCAGUGGCUAUCCCCUCCAUGUCAAGAGAGCUAUGCCCCCAGAUCCUCGAGAACAGAAAACCGCAAGUCAGACCUGGGCUGCGAGCACUCUGAGCCAAGCAGUCCCCCAGCGGGCAGACCACAGGGUGGUGGACACCAUUGACCAGCUUGUCAUGCGUGUCAUCCAAGGAAGACUGACUCCCAGAGAGAGAACACUUCUCCUGCAGGACCCUGCUUACUGGUUUCUGUCUGAUGAGAGCAGCCUGGAGUAUAAGUACUACAAGCUGAAGUUGGCAGAGUCACAGCGGCUGAACCACAGCUGGCCUAUGGUGGAGCGGAGGCCAACCCCAGCACAGUGCGCCGUGCGUGCCAUGCUGUAUGCACAAGCUGUGCGAAGCCUCAAGCGCAGACUCCUCCCAUGGCAGCGCAGGCGGCUGCUUCGCUCCCAGGGUCCUCGAGGCCUAAAGGCUAAGAAAGCUGUCACUGCCCAGCAGACAUCCCUGGCCUUGGGCACUCGACAGAGACAACAUGGCCGCCACGCUUCAGGCUCCUUGCGGGUGAAGCCACCACCACGGGACUCAAGUGAUGCUGCCCAGGACUGCCUACCAGAGCCUGCCAAAGCCCAUCCUCAGCCCUCCAGCGCUGGAGUCUUGGGCCAGGCUCCUCGGCCAACACCAGGGGAUGACUCAGAAGCCCUGCCGGCCUCUUCUCCCUGCCCCUCUGCUAAUGUGGAUGCAAAGACCAUGGAGACUGCUGAGAAGCUGGCCAGAUUUGUGGCUCAGGUGGGCCCAGAGAUUGAGCAAUUCAGCAUAGAGAACAGCACCGACAAUCCUGACCUGUGGUUCCUGCAUGACCAGAGCAGCUCAGCUUUCAAGUUCUACCGAGAGAAGGUGCUGGAACUGUGCCCAUCCAUCUCCUUCCAGUCUGCUGGUACGACAGGGGACUCAGUGCAGAGCCCCACAGCCUGCAAGGAGGGUAAGGGUGAGCCUGAAGAGGGGCACCGUGAGCAGGAGGCUGCCAUGGAGGGCCCUGAGGACGAAGAGGAAGAUGAUGAGGAGAGUGAGGAGGACGAGGGCGAGGAGACCUGCACCCUCAGGCCACAGGCAGGAGCUGUCAAGUGUCCAGGCUCCGAGGGCAGUUCCCCCACUGACAGCAUCCCUGGAGAGGGAUCCAGGGAGGACCAGGCCGGCACCCCUGGCCUGUCACAGGCCUCCUCUGGCAGCUGCUUCCCCAGGAAGAGAAUCAGCAGCAAGUCACUGAAAGUUGGCAUGAUCCCUGCCCCAAAGAGAGUGUGUCUCAUCCAGGAGUCAAAGGUCCAUGAACCAGUUCGAAUCGCCUAUGACAGGCCUCGGGGUCGUCCCAUAGCCAAAAAGAAGAAACCCAAGGACAUGGAAUUUGCCCAGCAGAAACUGACAGACAAGAACGUGGGCUUCCAGAUGCUGCAGAAGAUGGGCUGGAAGGAAGGCCACGGCUUGGGCUCCCUUGGGAAGGGCAUCCGAGAGCCCGUCAGCGUGGGGACUCUAUCAGAAGGAGAGGGCCUUGGGGCUGACGGGCCCACACAGAAAGAAGACACAUUUGACGUGUUCCGCCAGCGCAUGAUGCAGAUGUACCGACACAAGCGGGCCAGCAAAUAGAUCAGAGCACUGACGACAGAGAUAAGCCUCGAAGCAGCCUUGCCCUUCCUGUCACCCCGCCCCGGACGCCUGCAGCCUGAGCCUCGUUCCAGGGUCACACCCACAAGGGCCAUGGAUUCCAAAAGUUGUGCUGGCCUGGCCUGCCCUGGCUCUGGCACGCUCCUGUUCCUGGAUGUACAUCGUGAAAGUUGAUUCUGGUACCUGGUAAAACCUAGAAGAUACUUGUGAUAUCACCACUUGGACGUUGUGUUUGUGAGGAUCUAAGAAGUCAUGGUGUUGUCGAUAUUGAGUGCUUGGAAUAAAUGCAGAGCAGACCUGCUGCCCAGCUCCCACGCCGCAGUCACUGAGGCAUCCAUGGGUUCGGAGACAUUAGGAGUUUGGGGCCAGCCUGAGUUAUGCCAUAUUCUGUAUUGAAGAACAGCAAAUAUAGUGGCUCAGCCCUGUAAUCUCAGCACUAAGGAGACUGAGAAAGGAGGAUUGCUAUCACUUCUAGGAUAUCCUGAGCCACAGAGUGAAACUGAGUCAGUCCUGUGAGGAGGAUGUGAAAGGUGGCAGUGCAGACCUAGGCCUGACAGGUGUCUAAAGGCCCAGUAAUGGGUUUCUGAGCCCUGAUGACCAGUAUCCCCAGAUCUAACAGUGUGUCUGUCCCCAGGUACAGCCCUGACUACAAACAUCCCCAGGCCUGACAAGACAGCAGUGUUAACCCAGACCCAAUGACAAAUGUCCCUAGACAUCUCUAGCCCUCAUGAGUGUCCUCAGGCCUGAUGAUGAUGUCACUAGUCCCCCCAAAUAGGUGUCUUUCAGGACCCCAUUCCCUGAACUUUGACGGAUCUCUCCCAGGCCUAAUGAUAGGCUGUUUCUUGUACAUGAUGACAGAUCUCUCCCAGGCCCACUGUACUCUUCAAACCUCCAAUGACUAGGUUUUCCCCAUAGAUGUCUCCUGUGACCCAGGCUGGCCUUGAACUCAAGAUCUUCUGCCUCAUCCUCUGGAGUCCUGGGAUCAUGGCUCUGUCACCACACGUAGCCUCUGAGAGAAUGACUGUCCAUGGCUUACUUGCCUUGUCCCUACCUGGAGCAAGAGCUGCUUUGUAUCUUCCCACUGAACAGUGGGACCUCGGACGUGAUUUUGUUCACUGUGGAUCCCUGGCCUCUGUUUUUUCUACCAACAUUUCCCUAUCCCUAAGCAGGAGAGUUACGAGGAGACCAGGCGGGAGGAGCAUGGUACCCAGGACGGGCAAUGUUGCCCUCAGAAACCUGGGAGCGGCAUGGAGACUGACAGGCGGCACAGGGCCCUUCAGAAGCUUCUCCCCACCUGUGUCCUGGGGGACUGCUGACCGUGACGGUGGCCCGAUUGAGUCUUCUCACCACAGUCAUGGUGGGGUCAUGGGGGUGGACACAGGACUGGGUCUCCAGUCCCAAAUGGGCUCCUCAUUCAGGUUUUUACCUCAGUCCUCAGUUUCCUUUGACAAAUUGGAAAUGGCCAUCAGAAGGUAAAAUAUCCUUUGUCAUAGUUGGUGUUUCUGUUGCUACUGUGAAGUACCAUGAGCAAAAACACAAGGUAGGCAAGAACAGGUGUUUUUUUAAUUGUUGUUGUUGUUUUGGUUUGGUUUUGGUUUACACUUUUAUAUCCCUGUUCAUCAUCAAAAGAAGGACAGGAGCUCACACAGGAUAGAAACCCGGAGGCAGGAGUUGAUGCAGAGGCCAUGAGGGGUACUACUUACUGGCUUGCUCAGCCACUUUAUAUUAGAGAACCUAGGACCACCUACCAUGGGCUGGGCACUUCCUCAUCAAUCACUCAUUAAGAAAAUGCAUAGCCUGAUCUAAUGCAGUGAUUCUUUCAGAGGACACCAGCUUGUGUCAGGUUGACGAAACUCUCUUUUCUGUGACUUUGAAUUUAGGGCCAUGUGAUAAUUAAGUGUGUCUCAUACAGGAGAUUGCUCCCUUCAUUCAGCUUCUGGUCCAGGGAAGUUGAGGGUGUAUCUAAGCAACAGACUGAGCUGGGCGGUGGUGGCAUGUGCCUUUAAGGGAGGCAGAGGCAGGCGCAUCUCUGUGAGUUCAAGGCCAGCCUCGUCUACAAAGUGAGUCUAGGACAGCCACGGCUACACAGAGAAAUCUGUCAAAAAACCAAAAUAAUAGUAAUAAACUAAGCAACAGACUGAGACAUGGAAAACAAAUCCCAAAUAGCAAGCUUGUGUAGUGCCCACACACAGGGGCUCGUCUGCUUGGGACGCUGAAGCAGAAGGGUCACUUGACAUGGGAGUUCUAACCCUACGCGAAGGCUAAUCAGCAUAACCCAGAUGCACAUGGAAUCGAGCAUGAGGGGCCCCUCUAACCCACACAUGAAAAGUAAAAUGUCAGGCACACGUGAGCCCUAGUGAGGGGAAGCAGCCGGUAGCUCCCGAGUAUUUACUGGAAUGCUUGGCCAGGUGGAGCGGAACAGAGACCUGUCCCCUUCCAGAGUGUUCUGCUUCCACAGCUUUCAGACAGUUGGAUUUGAAAGUAUGAUUCAUACUUUCACAGCUAUUUUGUUGUCUCUUAAAAGUUUUUAAUUACAUUUAUUAAAUUACACUUAUUGGGGUUGAAGAGAUGGCUCAGUGGCUAAGAGCACUGGGUCUUCCAGAGACCAGGGUUCAGUUCCCACAUGGCGACUCACACCAUCUGUGACUCCAGUUCCUGGGGAUCUGAUGCUCUCUUCUGGCCUCAGUAGGCACUGCACACAUACUGUGUAUAGUCAUACAUGCAAGACACCCAUACAUAUAAAAAAAAUUUUAAGAUUUUAUGUAUGAGUGCUCUAUCUGUAUGUACACUUGCAUACCAGAAGAGGGCACCAGAUCAUAUUACAGAUGGUUGUGAGCCGCCAUGUGAUUGCUGGGGCCUCUGGAAGAACAGACAGCCAUCUCUCUGGCCCCUAAAAUUUUUUAGUUAAAAAUUGGUGUGUGUGUGUGUGUGUGUGUGUGGCAGGUGAAUGUGGCUGCGUAUACCAGCACACCCGUGUGCAGGACAAGGAUUCAGUUCUCUCAUUGCACCUUGUGAGAGCAGGGAUUGAACCCAGGUCAUCAAGCUUAGCAGCACACACCAUUACACACUGAGCCAUCCUACUGGCCCCUCAAUUCUUUCUAUUUAAAAUACUGGUUUUUAAAUACAUUUAAUUUUAUAUGUGGGUGUUUUGCUUGGUGCCUACAGAGGAUGGAAGGGCAUCAGAUCUCCUGGACUACAGUUACAGGUGGUUGUGAAUCACUGUUGACUGCUGGGAAUCCUGGUCUUCUUAAAGAGCAGCUAGGGCUAAUAACCUAGUCCCUAGUCCCUAGUCCCUUAGAAUAUUCUUGGUUUUGUGUUAAUGCUUUUGGUUGUUGUUGAGACAGGGUUCCUCUGAGUAGCCCUGGCUGUCCUGGAACUCACUUUGUAGACCAGGCUGGCCUCGAACUCCCAGAGAUCCACCUGCUGCUGCCUCCCUAGUGCUGAGAUUAAAGGUGUGUGCCACCA
This is an RNA transcript of Meriones unguiculatus (Mongolian gerbil), 6836 nucleotides long. It is a transcript of the gene named SURP and G-patch domain containing 2, with no coding region annotated. NCBI's taxonomy places the organism in Eukaryota, Metazoa, Chordata, Mammalia, Rodentia, Muridae. The transcript is spliced from 12 exons. The record is from RefSeq and is a predicted model, not a curated record.